RNAcentral lists this long non-coding RNA (680 nucleotides) under Cyanistes caeruleus (blue tit). Its description in RNAcentral is "lncRNA (ENSCCEG00000016546.1)". Lineage: Eukaryota; Metazoa; Chordata; Aves; Passeriformes; Paridae. The record is from RNAcentral.
CCCCCAGUUAUCCCACAAGUUUUUCAAGACAAAGCUCUUUCUACCUGAGUAAAAUACUCUUUUCUCCAAGCAAGACACGGACAAAAAUACCAGAAUUAUUUAAAAUACUUUCAGUUCACACAUCAUUUCACCAGAACACCACAAGAAUUUGGAUGGAUGAACUCCCCAACCUCACACCACAACUCUUCUUCAGUCAAGAAAUUGCAAAACAAUUGGAAAAUGUAUCUGAAAUGGAGGAGACACCUGCCCAGAAACUAUUUUAAUCAGCCUGUUCCUGAAAGACUGUAUCCUGUAGAAAUGGACCAACACUGGAGCAAUUAGUGAAGAACUGCAGCCCAAAGGAAUAACCCACGUUGGAGGAGGCUGAGAAGGACAGUUUCCUAUAGGAUGGACCCCAUGACAGAGCAGGGGAAGAGCAUCAGGAGGGAGAAGCACCAGUGACAAAGUGCUGUGAAUAGUCUGUAACCCUUCAAGUUGAGUCUUGUAAGAUGUGUGUGUGGCAAAAAGUGGUUUUAGAUUUGCUCUAAUUUCUCCCCAUCCUAGUCUGAUAUUAAUUAGCAUUAAUUAAAAUCAAUUUCCCCAAGAUCAUCUUGUUUUUCCUAUCAUGGUAAAUGGUAAGAGAUCUCUCAACCCCUAUUCUGAUCCAAAACUCUCCCCUGUGUUUUAAUUAACUGAGCGGG